AAGAUACAAGCUAAUGCCUUGCCUCUAUGAUGAUGAAAAUCACAGUUUAUACCCUCACAAUCACAAAAAAGGCACAAGCCAAAGAAAUUCCAGGACCCCUCAUGCCUCUAGCGUCUCUGACUCAGAGAAAGCUCAGAGCUGGCAUGGUCCCCUCACAAUUCUCUCCCAUCGCUUGAGCGUCCACAGAGUCAGAGGCACCACUUAGCUUGCAGAGCAGAAAAAACACAGCCAGCUCUCAGCUGUAUGUGAAGAGAAUCUGGACCUCACAGAGAUGCAUGAUUGGAAAAAGAAAUUUUUAACAGUUUUUUAAGAAAAAUGUGGAUAUUCUUUGAUGCCACACCAGAAUUCAACUUGCUUCUUAAAGAUCUCCUGAAGAAUAAUCCUCUUCUAUAGGAUGCCUGAAACAUAGAUUAUGCUGAUGCCACCACAUCCACUGAAAACCCCACUAUAGACAGUAGUUAAUCAGAAGAAAUAAGUUAAGAUGAUGCAAUUGACAGCCUUACUUGGCUUUGCAAUUAAAAAAAAUCCUAGUAAUGACACUUAUAAGUGGGAAAACCUCACAAUGUUGUAACACGGCAUUUGAUUAGCACCUAGUAAACUAGCUCCAAUCUGUAGCUAGGUGCCCUCAUGAUGGGGUCUAUGAUGUCACAGUAGAGCUGCAGAUGUCACAGAGCUACCGGGCCUGUAUACAAGAGAGUUAAUAAAGGGUGAAAAACAUAUGAAUUCACAAUACAGCAGAUUGUGCUUCAACUCUGCUGCCUGAGGAAUCAAAAAUCUAUAUUUCUACCUUAAUUUCAAGAAUUACAAUGAAAACCCACUAACAAUCUAAGCAAAGUUGUAAAAUUGUCUUGAUUUCUGCAUAUUAAGCUAGGACUCUAAAGAGUCAGUUUCUUUUAAGGAGGGAAAAAAUAGUACUUAAAGUAUGUUUCAGAUACUUUAAACUUGAAAACAGAAAAAUAAUAUCAUAAAUAUAAAUACUUGAAUAAACACAUAAAAUAUUUCACUUAAUUUUUUAAGCUUAUAUUUAAUUGUGCUAAGUUAAUACAACACAAAAUGUAGAGCUAAUCUCAUUUAGGUAUCUUUAGUGUCUUACACUGAGUUCUUUUUUCAAACAGUAAG
Long non-coding RNA from Talpa occidentalis (Iberian mole), 1119 nucleotides. RefSeq lists it as uncharacterized. The transcript is spliced from 3 exons. The record is from RefSeq and is a predicted model, not a curated record. NCBI's taxonomy places the organism in Eukaryota, Metazoa, Chordata, Mammalia, Eulipotyphla, Talpidae.